UACGGGGGGGGCAAGCGUUGUUCGGAAUUACUGGGCGUAAAGGGCUCGUCGGCGGCCAACUAAGUCGGAUGUGAAAUCCCCAGGCUUAACCUGGGAACUGCAUCCGAUACUGGAUGGCUUGAAUCCGGGAGAGGGAUGCAGAAUUCCAGGUGUAGCGGUGAAAUGCGUAGAUAUCUGGAGGAAUACCGGUGGCGAAGGCGGCAUCCUGGACCGGCAUUGACGCUGAGUGGGCGAAAGCCAGGGGAGCAAACGGG
Molecule: ribosomal RNA, 254 nt
Filed under: uncultured bacterium
Lineage: Bacteria
Description: partial 16S ribosomal RNA
Rfam family: Bacterial small subunit ribosomal RNA
Source: RNAcentral